UACGAAGGGGGCGAGCGUUGUUCGGAUUUACUGGGCGUAAAGGGAGCGUAGGCGGGCUUCUAAGUUAGGUGUUUAAUCCCAGGGCCCAACCCUGGUCAGGCACCUAAAACUGGGAGUCUUGAAUAGUGGAGAGGACGAUGGAAUUGGGGGUGUAGCGGUGGAAUGCGUAGAGAUCCCCAAGAACACCAGUUGCGAAGGCGGUCGUCUGGACACAUAUUGACGCUGAGGCUCGAAAGCAUGGGGAGCAAACAGG
This 253-nucleotide ribosomal RNA is filed under the name uncultured bacterium. RNAcentral describes it as "partial 16S ribosomal RNA". It matches the Rfam family "Bacterial small subunit ribosomal RNA", at positions 524 to 776 of the family's 1533-position model. The record is from RNAcentral.